Molecule: ribosomal RNA, 253 nt
Filed under: uncultured bacterium
Lineage: Bacteria
Description: partial 16S ribosomal RNA
Rfam family: Bacterial small subunit ribosomal RNA
Source: RNAcentral
UACGUAGGUGGCGAGCGUUGUCCGGAUUUACUGGGCGUAAAGAGCGCGCAGGCGGUCGUUCAAGUCGCGUGUGAAAGCCCCCGGCUCAACUGGGGAGGGUCACGCGAUACUGAUCGACUCGAAGGCAGGAGAGGGAAGUGGAAUUCCCGGUGUAGUGGUGAAAUGCGUAGAGAUGUGGAGGAACACCGAUGGCGAAGGCAGCCCCCUGGGUCAAAACUGACGCUCAUGCACGAAAGCGUGGGGAGCAAACAGG